RNAcentral lists this ribosomal RNA (248 nucleotides) under uncultured Anaerolineaceae bacterium. Its description in RNAcentral is "partial 16S ribosomal RNA". It matches the Rfam family "Bacterial small subunit ribosomal RNA", at positions 796 to 1041 of the family's 1533-position model. Lineage: Bacteria; Bacillati; Chloroflexota; Anaerolineae; Anaerolineales; Anaerolineaceae. The record is from RNAcentral.
UUAGCUGUAAACGAUGUGAACUUAGUGUCGGUGGGGUUAAAUCCAUCGGUACUGAAGCUAACGCGAUAAGUUCACCGCCUGAGGACUACGGCCGCAAGGUUAAAACUCAAAGGAAUUGACGGGGCCCCGCACAAGCAGCGGAGCGUGUGGUUUAAUUCGAUGUUACACGAAGAACCUUACCAGGGUUUGACAUGCAAGUGGUAGGAAACCGAAAGGUGACCGACCCUUCGGGGAGCUUGCACAGGUGC